RNAcentral lists this ribosomal RNA (468 nucleotides) under uncultured bacterium. RNAcentral describes it as "partial 16S ribosomal RNA". It matches the Rfam family "Bacterial small subunit ribosomal RNA", at positions 28 to 507 of the family's 1533-position model. The record is from RNAcentral.
GACGAACGCUGGCGGCGUGCUUAACACAUGCAAGUCGAACGGAAAGGCCCUGCUUUUUUGGGGUUCUCGAGUGGCGAACGGGUGAGUAACAAGUGAGUAACCUGCCCUUGACUUUGGGAUAACUUCAGGAAACUGGGGCUAAUACCGGAUAGGAGCUCCUGCUGCAUGGGGGGGGUUGGAAAGUUUCGGCGGGUGGGGAUGGACUCGCGGCUGAUCGGCUUGUUGGUGGGGGAGUGGGUUACCAAGGCUUUGGCGGGUAGCCGGCCUGUGAGGGUGACCGGCCACAUUGGGACUGAGAUACGGCCCAGACUCCUACGGGAGGCAGCAGGGGGGAAUCUUGCACAAUGGGGGGAAGCCUGAUGAAGCAACGCCGCGUGCGGGAUGACGGCCUUCGGGUUGUAAACCGCUUUAGCCUGUGACGAAGCGUGAGUGACGGUAAUGGGUAAAGAAGCACCGGCUAACUACGUG